GACGAACGCUGGCGGCGUGCUUAACACAUGCAAGUCGAACGGAAAGGCCCUGCUUUUGUGGGGUGCUCGAGUGGCGAACGGGUGAGUAACACGUGAGUAACCUGCCCUUGACUUUGGGAUAACUUCAGGAAACUGGGGCUAAUACCGGAUAGGAGCUCCUGCUGCAUGGUGGGGGUUGGAAAGUUUCGGCGGUUGGGGAUGGACUCGCGGCCUAUCAGCUUGUUGGUGGGGUAGUGGCUUACCAAGGCUUUGACGGGUAGCCGGCCUGAGAGGGUGACCGGCCACAUUGGGACUGAGAUACGGCCCAGACUCCUACGGGAGGCAGCAGUGGGGAAUAUUGCACAAUGGGCGGAAGCCUGAUGCAGCAACGCCGCGUGCGGGAUGACGGCCUUCGGGUUGUAAACCGCUUUAGCCUGUGACGAAGCGUGAGUGACGGUAAUGGGUAAAGAAGCACCGGCUAACUACGUG
RNAcentral lists this ribosomal RNA (468 nucleotides) under uncultured bacterium. RNAcentral's name for it is "partial 16S ribosomal RNA". It matches the Rfam family "Bacterial small subunit ribosomal RNA", at positions 28 to 507 of the family's 1533-position model. The record is from RNAcentral.